UAAUCUUAUGUGCAAUGGUUGGAGCAACAACAUCCUUUUACAAAGUGAUGAGGAUCCCCUUUAUAUAGGAGGGGAAUCCUAUCAUAGUACAAAAUACAUUAAAUGUAAGAGCAUGGAGAUGGGACGGCUAGACGCGAUGCCUUGAUACAGGCUCCGGGUAGGCCGGCUUUGUCAGACCUAGCUGCGUGCCUUGGGAAUUCCCCAUUUUGCUCUAGCCUCGAUCUACGUCAUCUUUAAGUCGGGCCUCGACUAGCUCUGAAGGAGGGAACCCGGUCACAACUUCGCAUCCUCGGGGUCUAGGUGUUCUUCUGAAGUGACUCGAUAGCAAGAAAUUAGGCCCUCUGAUUUCGCUGCAUACAAGAGCUUAUACAAAAAUAGUCACCGAGGUUCAUCAGACUUGUCCUGGUUGCUCUAAUGAGGCUGUUUCAUAUGAUAAGGCUUACAUAUGUGAUUAAAAGUUAAGUAUAAACACAAGACUUUCACAUUAAUGACUCAAAGGUUGUUUCGGAUUAUCAAACACUUAUCUGAAGAAGGAAAAACACCUUAAACAAUUAAAGUUAACAUACUUUACUCAUUAGUAAAGGAUUAAACCCUGAGCAUUCAUAUACCUCUUAGUUAAAAUCAUUAAAUAACAACUUCAAAUAUAGAAUAAAAGACUACAUUAAACAUGAUUAGUGUAAUAGGCAUGAAGAUCACAACAGAACAUUUAGAGAAAAUCUUAAAUCAUAACAUGCAUGGGAAGCUAUCAAGACACAUUAAAAAACUUAAUUGCAUAGGUUGUUUGAUUUAGAGUAGUAGUCUUCAAGGUCACAUAAUGACUUAAUCAAAUUGACUUGCGACACAUAAAUUCAUUAAAGUUAAUCAUAAGUUAGUAAUAAAUCAUUAUAACCAAGAACAAAUAAUUAAGAGCUGAUGACAAACAUAAAAAACAAAGGCAGUCAAUGAAAAGACAACAAUAGGUUCAUGAUUUUAAAUAAAACAGUCAAAAAGGAGUGGAAGUAUACUGACCUCCUUGUGUGCAGCAGACCAAACAAGAAUUCAACUUAGUCGUGUAGAAACUAGAGCUUCAAGCUUUGAGCAAUGAAAACUCGAAAACAAAAGAAACAAAAAUUAAUCAGAGAGAAAGAGGAAGAGAGCGAGAGCGAGAGAGAGAGAGAGAGAGAGACUAGGCUUUUGAAAUCUCAAUGGUUUUUUUAUACUCGUAUUAGGAUUUUUAGUUCUUGUUCGGUUUGUUAGGUGAGAGCAUUCAAAACUCUAUUUAUUUUGGCAUUUAGUGCCAUAGCUUACUGAUUCAAAUUAGGACAGUGGAAGAUGAUGGAAAGUGGAUGAUGUGAGCAAACUCGAGUGAAAUCAAAGAUGAUAAAGGUGAGAAAAAGGAUAGAUUUUACCUGAGGGAGGAAGACUGCUUGUUGAAAACAAAAACCACCGAAUAAAGGCCCAAUGUCUAGAGGUCUCUGCACUUGACCUCUGGACCAAGAAUAAUGAUGAUGACACUGUAAAAUAGCUAUGUAUGCCACUAAUUUUGACAGAGCACAAAGAAUCUCUGGGGAUUCGACUAUGCAUCGAUUAGUGUAGGGUUUUGAAUUAGGGAUUUCGAAAUCCAAUCAAUGGAAUGGAAAUAAAAUUUGAGGCUUCAUAUCCUAGGGAUGAAGCAAUUGAUUCUGCUAGUUGGACUUGAGAACAAUGUCACGAUGCUAAAGUUUAGAAGUGGCACUUCAGAUUUGAAGAAUAAAAAAAGGAAAUAGUAGUGGGAUUCGUGGAUAGAGAGUAGGAGAGGAUGAUUUGAUGAGAGAUUUCAUGACCUUGCACGGAUUUGUGUAAGGUCUGUUAACUGAUGUUCUUGAGAGAUUGAGACAAGAAAGAGGGAAAGAGGAAAUGGAAGCGGUUGUGGGAGUGACAAAUGAAAUUAGGGUUAGGAUAUUGGGAGUUAGCCUCCGAAUUAAGAGUGAGGGGUUGAUAUGGGUCGUUUAG
Molecule: long non-coding RNA, 1971 nt
Filed under: Nicotiana tabacum (common tobacco)
Lineage: Eukaryota; Viridiplantae; Streptophyta; Magnoliopsida; Solanales; Solanaceae
Description: long non-coding RNA (NTAB_LNC002130)
Source: RNAcentral